This is an unclassified non-coding RNA of Spermophilus dauricus (Daurian ground squirrel), 329 nucleotides long. Its record names the gene 7SK. It matches the Rfam family "7SK RNA". Rfam says of the family: 7SK was discovered as an abundant small nuclear RNA in the mid-70s but a possible function has only recently been suggested. NCBI's taxonomy places the organism in Eukaryota, Metazoa, Chordata, Mammalia, Rodentia, Sciuridae. The record is from Ensembl.
GGGUGUUAGAGCAAUCUGACAGUGACAUCUGUCACUCCACUUAUGCCAGGUUUGAUUCCAGGGAUUUGACUGGCUGAAACAAGUCCAGUGAUUCCCUCACUGGCCUAUAUUUGUCAUUCUGCCAUAGGCAUUGGCUGCAUCUUCCGGAUGUCAGUCAAGUCAAAGAGAAAUAUUCCCAGAUAGGGGAGGAUGACACUGUAGUCCAAGCCAUAAAAUUAGCUGAACAUUCCUACUAGGACCUCACAACAAAAUUUUAAAGUUCAUAUGAAAAUACCAAUUUCAGUUCAAAUUUCUGUUUAUAAAAAUGAAAUGCAUAUUUUUAAAAUAUA